UACAGAGGGGGCAAGCGUUGUCCGGAUUGACUGGGCGUAAAGCGCACGCAGGUGGCGCGCAACGUGGGAUGUGAAAGCGGGCGGCUCAACCGCCCGAGGCCAUGCCAAACGAGCGUGCUAGAGCCAUGUAGAGGGUGGUGGAAUUGCCGGUGUAGUGGUGAAAUGCGUGGAGAUCGGCAGGAACACCAAGGGGGAAGCCAGCCACCUGGGCAUGGGCCGACACUCAAGUGCGAAAGCGUGGGGAGCGAACUGG
RNAcentral lists this ribosomal RNA (253 nucleotides) under uncultured bacterium. Its description in RNAcentral is "partial 16S ribosomal RNA". It matches the Rfam family "Bacterial small subunit ribosomal RNA", at positions 524 to 776 of the family's 1533-position model. The record is from RNAcentral.